CCUAGGGGCUCUCAGAUUUAGCCCUAGGGGCUCUCGGAUUUAGCCCUAGGGGCUCUCGGACUCUAGCCCAGCUUUUGGGUUCCUUUUUUUUUUUUUUUUUCUGGUGGUUGUGACAACACAUCUGUGGUGUGAUCUUGGAGUUUUCUUUAGGUUUCUUCGCUUCUAGGCUCUUGGAGAUCUUCGAUUAUUUGGAGGUUUGUUAUCAGAUUUAGGCUCUUUGACGAUGUUUUUUUUUUUUUUUUUUUGUUUCCUAGACUAUUUCUGUCUUCAUAAUGUUUGGAGAAUAUUCUAUUGUUAGUUUCAAUGGCAAAAACUAUCUUAGUUGGGAGUUUUAGUUUAAGAUGUUUGUGAAAAGUAAGAAGCAAGACAGAGUCUCUAAGUCAUCUACGGAAUCUGAGUACCGGGCGAUGUCUCUUGCUUGUUCUGAAAUCAUUUGGCUUCGAGGUUUGCUUGCGGAGUUAGAUUUUUCUGAGAUCGAUCCUACACCUCUACAUGCCGAUAAUACAAGUGUUAUUCAGAUCACGACCAAUCCUGUCUAUCAUGAGCGCACAAAGCAUAUUGAAGUGGACUGUCACUCUAUCCGUGAAGCCUUUGAAGCUCGUGUUAUCACUCUUCCACAUAUUUCCACUGACUUACAAAUUGUUGAUAUCUUCACCAAAGCUCUCCCUCGUCAUCGACAUUGCUUGCUAAGUAGCAAAUUGAUGCUUGUUGAUCAACCUGCAUCAAUUUGAGGGGGGCUGUCAAAGGACAGCUUUGCUGUCCACACUUCUUUCCUUAUUUUAACCCACACUUCUUUCCUUAUUUUAGCCUACAAUUGUUUCCUUAUUUCUCCAUUUAUUAUUCUAUACAGUUAGCAUAUAUUAUGUGACAGAUUAUAGUUUAGAUGUAUAGAACUAGAAUCAUGAGGGAAUUUAUUUGCUUUUAUUUGCUUUCCAUGUAUAGCAUCCUUGUAAAGGUAUUCGGCCAUUCACACAAUAUUUUGACAAAUUGCUCAUGCAUGAGCUUUCUGUUGAAUACAGGAGAUGUACUACUCAACAAAAAGGCAGCAGUUCUUGAUUGAUCAAGGUUAUAGCUUUAAGGUACUUGCUUUUAUUAUUUUAUUAUUGAACUUUGCACCUUUUUCCAGACAGAUCACUUUCUGCCAUCGGCGGGGAUAUUGUCACUAUGGCCUAGAGCUAGAUAUACCAUUAAACAUGCCACACUUUUGUUUGUUACACUCUGGAAUGGUUUCCCAGUGUGAUCGGGCAGCGUGGCAUUUGAUGCUUAGCAGUUAAAAUGAAGUUAUAUAAGUUGAGGAAAACUUUUUCUUUCCAUUUUCUGUUAUAUUUAUCUCAUUUUUAAUACCUUAUCCUAUUUAUGAACGCCUUCAAUAAAAUGUGGCAAGAUAUCAAGAAUAGUGAGCCAGCUACAUCUCUGGCUGUUCCUUCAUGAGCUCAACUCCUUUUGCAAUAGUUGUAGUUAUGUGUGUUCUGUAGGAAACUUCCAUGGUCAGGAUGCUAAUGUAUUUACAGUGUUUUGUCUUCCUCUUCUUGGAGGUCAUAAUCGGCACAAUUAUGCUCAUUUUCCCAAUUAUACUGACAGAUAAUAACAAGCUUGCCUCCGCCUGAUUCUGGCGCCGAUCUGAGCUACCACCGCCUGGAUGAGCAACUGGCACUUCUUGGAAAGGUUUCACUUCUAGUGCCCUUUGCACUUCAAGCAUUAUUAACCGAGCUAGAAAUUUCUGAACUGUUUUGGACCACAGGUAUUAAGUGCAGGUGAUGAUGCAGUUGGUCUAGAGCAAUUAGAUGAAGAUGCAGAUGACAUAGCACUCCAAAAAGCUCGUCGAUCUGUGGGAUCCAUGAGUGCCAUGUCUGGUGCUAGUGGGAUGGUUUACAUGGAAUACAAGUAUGGGUAUCCCUUCGUGUCCUGCUUCACUUUUUUAAAUUCAACACGGAAAAAUCAGUCUACCACUCUUUCAUAUGGCUCUUAACUUGCAUGGUGUUUACUCUACUUUUCCUUUACUGCAGUACUGGACGCAACAAACAUGGUGGGCAGGGCCAGAUCAAGGGUAAGCCCAAGGAUCCAUCCAAGAGACAUCAUUUAUUCAAGAGACGCUUUGGCUGAGAGAAAUAUGACUAAAGAACCAUCCACAAUGAUGGGCUCCCUUUUAGUAAUAAUAUAUGAUGCCAAGAUGAGUAGGCUUUUUGUAUAUUUCUCAAAACAGAGUGCCUGUGUUGAGUCUACCACCCCU
RNAcentral lists this long non-coding RNA (2230 nucleotides) under Vitis vinifera (wine grape). Its description in RNAcentral is "long non-coding RNA (VVIN_LNC000326)". Lineage: Eukaryota; Viridiplantae; Streptophyta; Magnoliopsida; Vitales; Vitaceae. The record is from RNAcentral.